Long non-coding RNA from Bos indicus x Bos taurus (hybrid cattle), 878 nucleotides. The record is from Ensembl. NCBI's taxonomy places the organism in Eukaryota, Metazoa, Chordata, Mammalia, Artiodactyla, Bovidae.
UCUCACUGUUCUUUUCCCAAACACACAAGAUCUCACAAUCCCAGCAAGAGGAAAUGACUUAGGGAUGAAGGCUUCAGAGGAGGAAAAAAAAAUAGAGGCUUCCAAUAAAAAUCAUUUCUAGAAGGAAUGAAGCUGUUAUUGGCAAGUCAACCAGUGAGAGAGACGACUUUGGAAAGAAAGAAGUUCUAUCUUCUAUCCACAUGUCUGUUAGAGAAUGUUUGCAGGUAUUUCCUGGGGGCUUCCCUGGUGGCUCAGAUGGUAAAGAGUCUGCCUGCAGUACAGGAGACCAGGGUUCGAUCCCUGGAUUUGGAAGAUCUGAUGGAGAAGGGAAUGGCUACCAACUCCAGUAUUCUUGCCUAGAGAAUUCCACAGACAGAGGAUCCUGGAGAGCCACAGUACACGGGAUUGCAAAGAGCUGGACAAGACUGACUAACACUAUUACCCUCCUACAGAGUUCCAAAAAAACAGCAGGAAAGGAAACAGGAUUGCUGAUGAAGUACAAGAUCAUCAGAAUUAAAGUUCUCAAGGAAUUAAAUCUCUCACUCCUGGCAAAACACCAUGCCAUGUAUUUAACUCAGCAUCCUGUGCCAAGGAGGUGAAAAAAGCCAGAAAAUAUCCUGUCCACAGGGAGACCCAGACCUCUACAAACUGUGGGAGGAAGUUUUCAAGGAUUAUACUACUAUUAACUAGCAUUUUCUAGAAAAGCCAUAACAAACAGCAACAUGCAAUAAUUUUACCUGCCAUUUAGAUGCAAAAAGAGGUCAUUACUCAUAUUAAUUAAAAAGAUAAAAUUUAGUAUGGAUAUAAAUUAUAUUUUUAGAUAUUUUAUUUGUUAUCAUUACAACAAACAUGUCUCAGACAGCAUACCUUUAUAAAUA